Non-coding RNA from Camelina sativa (false flax), 1554 nucleotides. The record is from RefSeq and is a predicted model, not a curated record. Lineage: Eukaryota; Viridiplantae; Streptophyta; Magnoliopsida; Brassicales; Brassicaceae.
GGACAGAUAUCUUGGAAAUCUGCGGUAUUUUUUUUUUUUUAAAGAAGGUCAUUCACUACAUGAAGAUCAAAUACCAUGAAAGUACCGUGGACAGUUUCGGGACGUUGUCUUUGCAAAGCUUUCUGGUGCCCGUAUAGUACGCAUAGCAGUCCACCCCAAUGCUAUGAAGAUGGGAUAUGGGUCUGCUGCGGUUGAACUCUUGACCAGAUACUUUGAGGGUCAGCUAGCUUCAAUAUCAGAAGGUGAUGAUGAACUGGAUGUGGAGCCUUCAGAGUUACCAAGGCUGCUGAAAAUGUUAAUAGAAUUUGCUCCAUUCUACAUCAGUCAAAUCCUAGUUGAGAAUAUCUGUUUCUCCUCAUUCUCCUGAAUUGGUUAUUCUUGUAUUGUCUACUAGUUCCUAACACAAUUUCUAUAUAUGGUUGGAUCAGAGUGCUGUGACUGGUGAGCGAGCACACAUGUAUGCUUUCGAAACCAUUAACAUUAAGCAACGACACGUUUGAAGUUGAUGAGUCGGAUGAACUGGGCUUCUUCGUCCCCUUCCAUAAAGUACUAUUUUAGGUUGACAACUUUUCCUGGUGCGGUUUUAUCGUGUUGAUAAUAUGAUCAACUUCCUGGAGGUUGAUUCUUGGGGGAAUUCAUCAGAUGGAUUUUUGAAGAAACUCGCCCGUGUGCUUUCACCUUAUGAUAUGGUUUGACUCAGAGGGUAGACUUCGUUGCCAAACUUCGUUGACUUCAAUCUGGUCUAUGACAUCUGCAAAACUCUAGCUCAUCAUUAUUUUCAAGAGAAGCUCCUUGUCUCGCUGUCAUAUGUUCAAGCAUCUGUACUCCUGUGUUUAGGCUUGCUAGAGUAGUCUGAUUUCUCGAACAUCGAGAGAGUGCUUGAACCUCACAAUGUAUCAGUAGAUGAAGAUCUCAGGGAAGGAGCAAAAGAAGUUGAGGAACAAAUGAGGGCAAAGAUAGAAGAACUGUUGGAUCUUGAGCUGCUUCAUUGAAGCGAUACCAUGGGAGAGAUCACGGAGACAUCAAGCACGGCACUAGCAAAAGUAAAGGAGGGUGGUUCCUCCUCGUCCUCAAUCAAGUGCCCGAUGCUCACCACGACCAAUUACACGGUUUGGUCCAUGAAGAUGAGAAUUCUCCUCAGGGUGCAUAAGGUCUGGGAUAUCAUCGAAGAACCUUCUGAUGAUAGUGAGAAAAACGACAUGGCGGUGGCACUAUUGUUCCAAUCAAUCCCUGAGACGCUUAUUCUACAAGUUGGUGAGUUGGAUACGGCAAAAAAAGUUGGUGAGUUGGAUACGGCUAGAAUGUGAUCUUUAAAUUUAAGAGGGCAUGGUUGUUAUUUUAAAACUAAAGAGGUGAGUGUUGCAAGGCAAAGAAAUAUAAAGGGCUAUAAAGUUUGGUCCGUACGACGAACGCUUUCUCCCCUCGUCUCUCUCAAGUCUCAACACCUCCUGAUAAAGUUCUAAAGCGCCUAAAGCAGCAGUCUCACUAAACCCUAGGCGGUUACGUCGCAUUGCUUCGAAUUAACCAUGGAAUCUCAUCUAAUUUCUCCCAAAA